UACGUAGGGUGCAAGCGUUGUCCGGAAUUAUUGGGCGUAAAGAGCUCGUAGGCGGUCUGUUGCGUCCGCUGUGAAAACUCGGGGCUUAACCCCGAGCCUGCAGUGGAUACGGGCAGACUAGAGGUAGGUAGGGGAGAAUGGAAUUCCCGGUGUAGCGGUGAAAUGCGCAGAUAUCGGGAGGAACACCGGUGGCGAAGGCGGUUCUCUGGGCCGUACCUGACGCUGAGGAGCGAAAGCGUGGGGAGCGAACAGG
This 253-nucleotide ribosomal RNA is filed under the name uncultured bacterium. RNAcentral's name for it is "partial 16S ribosomal RNA". It matches the Rfam family "Bacterial small subunit ribosomal RNA", at positions 524 to 776 of the family's 1533-position model. The record is from RNAcentral.